CCUACGGGAGGCAGCAGUGAGGAAUAUUGGUCAAUGGACGAGAGUCUGAACCAGCCAAGUAGCGUGAAGGAUGACUGCCCUAUGGGUUGUAAACUUCUUUUAUAUGGGAAUAAAAUGUUCCACGUGUGGGAUUUUGUAUGUACCAUAUGAAUAAGGAUAGGCUAACUCCGUGCCAGCAGCCGCGGUAAUACGGAGGAUCCGAGCGUUAUCCGGAGUUAUUGGGUUUAAAGGGAGCGUAGGUGGAUUGUUAAGUCAGUUGUGAAAGUUUGCGGCUCAACCGUAAAAUUGCAGUUGAAACUGGCAGUCUUGAGUACAGUAGAGGUGGGCGGAAUUCGUGGUGUAGCGGUGAAAUGCUUAGAUAUCACGAAGAACUCCGAUUGCGAAGGCAGCUCACUGGACUGCAACUGACACUGAGGCUCGAAAGUGUGGGGAUCAAACAGGAUUAGAUACCCUUGUAGUC
This 460-nucleotide ribosomal RNA is filed under the name uncultured bacterium. Its description in RNAcentral is "partial 16S ribosomal RNA". It matches the Rfam family "Bacterial small subunit ribosomal RNA", at positions 338 to 795 of the family's 1533-position model. The record is from RNAcentral.